GAUAUCCGGGAAACUGGGGGUAUACUCCAUAGUUCGUGCUGACUGGAAUGUUAUGCGAACGAAAGAUCCGUCGCUUCAGGAUGAGUCUGCGGCCGAUUAGGUAGUUGUUGGGGUAACGGCCCAACAAGCCUGUCAUCGGUACGGGUUGUGGGAGCAAGAGCCCGGAGAUGGAUUCUGAGACACGAAUCCAGGCCCUACGGGGCGCAGCAGGCGCGAAAACUUUACCAUGCGGGCAACCGUGAUAAGGAAACCCCGAGUGCCAGCACAGGCUGGCUGUCCACCAGUGUAAAUAACUGGUGAAGAAAGGGCCGGGCAAGACCGGUGCCAGCCGCCGCGGUAAUACCGGCGGCUCGAGUGGUGGCCGCUAUUACUGGGCUUAAAGGGUCCGUAGCUGGAUAUACAAGUCCCUUGAGAAAUCCGCCGGCUUAACCGGUGGGCGUUCAGGGGAAACUGUAUUUCUAGGGACCGGGAGAGGUGAGAGGUACUGCCGGGGUAGGAGUGAAAUCCUGUAAUCCCGGUGGGACCACCUAUGGCGAAGGCAUCUCACCAGAACGGGUCCGACAGUGAGGGACGAGAGCUGGGGGAGCAAACCGGAUUAGAUACCCGGGUAGUCCCAGCUGUAAACGAUGCGCGUUAGGUGUGUCAGUGACCACGUGUCACUGAGGUGCCGAAGGGAAACCGUGAAACGCGCCGCCUGGGGAGUACGGUCGCAAGGCU
RNAcentral lists this ribosomal RNA (717 nucleotides) under uncultured Methanospirillum sp. RNAcentral describes it as "bacterial SSU rRNA". It matches the Rfam family "Archaeal small subunit ribosomal RNA", at positions 125 to 850 of the family's 1478-position model. Lineage: Archaea; Methanobacteriati; Methanobacteriota; Methanomicrobia; Methanomicrobiales; Methanospirillaceae. The record is from RNAcentral.